This 253-nucleotide ribosomal RNA is filed under the name uncultured bacterium. Its description in RNAcentral is "partial 16S ribosomal RNA". It matches the Rfam family "Bacterial small subunit ribosomal RNA", at positions 524 to 776 of the family's 1533-position model. The record is from RNAcentral.
UACGGAGGGAGCAAGCGUUACUCGGAAUUAUUGGGCGUAAAGAGCGUGUAGGCGGCCAGGUAGGUCUGCUGUGAAAACUCGAGGCUUAACCUCGAGCUGUCGGCGGAAACCAUCUGGCUAGAGUCCGGAAGAGGAGAAUGGAAUUCCCGGUGUAGCGGUGAAAUGCGCAGAUAUCGGGAAGAACACCCGUGGCGAAGGCGGUUCUCUGGGACGGUACUGACGCUGAGACGCGAAAGCGUGGGGAGCGAACAGG